Molecule: unclassified non-coding RNA, 6122 nt
Filed under: Eurytemora carolleeae
Lineage: Eukaryota; Metazoa; Arthropoda; Copepoda; Calanoida; Temoridae
Description: probable helicase with zinc finger domain
Source: RNAcentral
UCAGAAGAAAGGGAUAGAAACAAUUCAAUGUACUAUUACCGGCUUAAGCUCAAGUUUACAACUAAAGUAUUCGGAGUGUUCAAGCAGACUAUUCUAUUCGACUUCGGGACUAAACCACUGCUUUCACAGACCGUGAAUGUUUGUGUUUCUCCGGAAUCAGCAGAGGAUGACCUUCUUUCAGUCCAGGAAUCUAUCCUAAGUGUAUCUGACGUAUGGGAUGAAUCUAACUCUAAUAUCCUGAAGUUUGAACCUGCUCCCCCUAAGGUUCAGCAGGACGAGGAUACACUGCUCAGCCAGUAUCCUAUUCCUCAACCAUCAACCUUUAGCAUUCCUAAGGCGUGUGGGGAUACUGGACUGACCCUGGAGACAUAUCGGCAGAGGUUUCAUGAGCUCCUCUACAUGGAGGAGCUCAGCCAGUACAAGGAGAUCACAGGAUUUAAUGCUCACCUUAAUAUUCAUAUUACAGAGAGGUAUUUGCUAUCUGCUACACCGUCCAAUGCAUCCACUGCCAAGUAUGCUAGACCUGGAGAGUUAUUCGGUAGAAUUGAAUUAAACUCUGAACUCUCAGAAGAUUCUAAGGCUGGAAAACUUAUCCUGACAAAAUGUUCGUCUGUGCUGUUGAGGACGGAUCCUGACUACUCUGCGGAGAAGAAGAAAGGAAAGAAGAAGACAGAGAAGAAGAAGAAAGUAGCCUCUGCCAAUUCUAAAGUUUGGGAAUGUUUGAUAGAAGAUACUGCCAAAUCUGUGAUUUACGUAAGGUUACCUGCUGCACUUGUUCUAGUUUUGAAUCUUGAGACGGAUACGAGGAUUAAAUCUGAGAUUCAGUUUAAACUCAGCAGACUUUCCUUAGUAGAGAUGCAUUAUGCUGUAGAUAGAUUGACCGAUCUAAGAGUAGUAUACCCUGACAUCAGCAUCUCCUUGUCUAUCCCCUGGUCCCCCUCGCACAACUGGAAGGAGACUCUGGACCCUCUCCUCAACGCUAAGCAGAAGGAGGCGGUGCUAGCUAUCACCUCCCCUCCUGCAGUUCACCUGCCCCCUAUUCUAAUAAUUGGACCGUACGGAACUGGAAAAACAUUCACACUCGGCAAAGCUAUUGAUUUGUUACUGAAGGAGACGACAUCAAGAAUCCUGGUUUGUACGCAUAGUAAUAGUGCUGCAGAUCUUUAUAUUAAGGAUUACAUUGAUCCCGCUGUAACAAAAGGAAACUUAUCCAAGAAGAUAUUAAGGAUUUACUACUAUAACAGAUGGGUUCAAACAGUACAUACGACAGUACAGAAAUACUGCUUGAUAGAAACAGACGAGAUGACGUCCACCAGACGAUUCAAGAUACCAACCUUACAGGAUUUGGUAGACUGUGAUCUAGUAGUUGCGACAUUAUCGACUAGCAGAUGUUUGACCCAGCUACUGAAACCCGGUCAUUUCACACAUAUUCUUUUGGAUGAAGCAGCACAGGCUUUAGAAACUGAGGCAAUUCUACCCUUGAUCCUUGCUAAUUCUACGACCAGAGUUGUGCUGGCCGGAGAUCAUAUGCAGCUUGAACCGGAGGUGGUUUCUCCGUUCGCUCUGGAGAAGCAAUUUAAUCUAUCUCUUCUAGAGCGUUUGUAUGAUCUAUAUCCAAGAAACUAUCCGUGUAAAAUUCUCCUCUGCGAAAAUUACAGGAGCCAUCAAGAGAUUGUUUCAUUCACUAGCAAUCUUUUCUAUGAUCAGAAACUUGUGGCGAGUGGAAAGCAACCGCUGCAUCCUAAAUGGUUUCCCUUAACCUUCUUUACUGCUAGAGGAGAGGAUGUUCAGGACGUGAACUCCACCUCCUACUACAACAACUACGAGGUCGGGGAGAUCGUGGAUCGUCUGAUCGAACUGAAGAAGAACUGGCCAAAGGUCUGGGGUAGGAAGGAGGAGGUUGAGAUAGGGGUUGUCACCCCGUACCAUGAUCAGGUUAUGCGGAUCCGAGCCGAGCUACGGAAGAAACGGAUGCACAACAUCUCUGUUGAGCGCGUUCAAAACGUGCAAGGGAAGCAAUACCGCGCAAUAUUUAUCUCCACGGUGCGCACUAGAGAAUCCUGCACCUCACAACCGCCUGAAAGAACAGAUUUCGGGUUCUUGUCUAGCGCUAAACUGUUGAAUACAGCAGUUACUCGGGCUCAGAGCUUAGUAGCAGUUGUAGGAGAUCCUGUAGCCCUUUGCUCAGUGGGAAGAUGCAGGAAGUUAUGGGAGAACUUUUUGGAGAUAUGUUCUAAAAACAAGAGCCUGGUUGGGUACACCUGGAAGGAGUUAAGGCUCAACCUCGAAGCUAUCGAGCUGAAGAAUAUUUACGGGCUCAACCCUAUGGCUAAGGAGUUUAUUCCAAGAGUUUUAUCUGUGAGCCACGAGACUAUACCCGCCUUCCCUGCUACCCAUCCUCCCCCUGUCUCCUGUAUACCACCCUGGUUCAGCAUGACAGGUUUAGGGACCCUACCUAGGGUACCAGGUAUACCUACUCUGGGGCCCUACCACGGGUUAAGUCCACUAAGUUUACUGGGCCCUGGAACUCCCGGGUUCCCUCUGCUCAACCAUCCCUUCUACCCUGGCAUCCUACCUCCGUCCUUUAGCUUACCUAUCUCUGCUCCUCUGUCCUCUGCGUCCUAUCCUCUUAACCCUGUCCUCCAAUCCUACCGUCCUCCAACUAUGGCAGUGUCCACUCCUACGGUCAGAGCAAGGUUUUCUCCUGUUUCUACUCCGGUACAGGUGCAAUCGGAGGCAACUGCGGUGUACAAACCACAAGCUGUAGGAGGCACAAGUAAAGCUGGAGGAGUUGUUACAUCUGCUAAGGAUCGUAUUCUGCCGCCAAGAACAGAUUUAAAAACCAUUCUUUUAUCCAGGGAAGCCCAGAUUGCCUGGUUCAACGCCUUGAAAUCAGUCGGGAAAGAUAUCGAAGCUGCAGCCUUCCAAGAGUUGAUUAUUUCUGAAGGCGGAGAGUUGUUAACGGAAGACGGAGAACACUCCGCCGCGGUUGAGGUGAAGGACGAAGUGGGGCAGAUGGAAACCUUGUCCCUAGGACGGGAGAGUCCGGAGGAUGAAGAGAAGGACGGGAUGAACUCGAUGUUCGAGUCUUUAAUGGCGGACUUUGAUAAACACGAGAAUGAGAAGUUUGAGUAUAAACCGCUUUAUUUAAGGCGUGCUCAACCCUUGGAGGAUUCGUGUGAUAUUUCCUCACCUAGAUCCUCAGAUUCAAACCAUCCGAGUACACAUCCCAACCCGGAGCAACCCAUCCAUCAUGGGAACGGAUUCAAUUAUCAUCCUCAACAUGCUAGCUCGGAACAAAGUAUUCAAAUCUCCGGGAUGAAUGAAAUGGAUUCCUCAAGUCAGAAUUGGCACCUGCAAAUGGAACUUCUGAGACGGAAGAUCUCGUUUGAGGAGCUUCUUGGCCUCGAAAAUGAGAGAGUUAACUCCAACCUAAUGCAGGGGAAUCAUGUGAACCACAUCCUUGAGAAUUCUUUAAUCUUCGAGAACCAAACUCUUUCCGAGAACCAUUGUCACCCUGAGAACCAGAGGUUUGUGGAUCAAUCAAGUUCUCAAGAAAACCAUUUUAAAAACCAAAACGGGCGAACAUCCGGUACGGAUUCCUGGAACCGGUUCAAUCCGGAUCCGGUAGAUCUUGAGACAUAUCCUUCCUUCCCGGAUCCGGAGCGGCGAGUAACAUCAGAUUCGCCUUCGCCACUGCCAACCUACGCCAGGGUAGUGAGAACUUCGCCACGUCAGCCUGAGGAGGAUACACUUACUAAAAUCAGGAAUCUUGGAACCUUUGGAUUCCAGAACCUUGGUUAAGCAUGGAACAACGACAAGUUAAACACGUGUUUUUUUACAAACACAAAGAUAUACGUUUUUUUAAGUAAACAAAAAAAAUAUACCUAAAAAUACUCAAGUGACAAAAAAGAUUUUUUUUAUAUAUGUAAGUUUUAAUAUUAAGCCUAUUAUUAUUGCUUGUAAAUGCACACAAAAAAAACGUACAAAAAAAAAUCUAACCCCCUAGAAUAGAAGUAAUUGGAAUUUGUAAAAUUAUCAUUUUGAUGAAUGCUUACAACUUAUUAAUUGUAACUGUUAUACUAACUUUUGACUCAAUUAAUGAAAUUAUUAACCUUUGAAAAGUAAAGUUAAGUAAUAUAAUGAGAACUACAUUUGCUAAACUUAAUUUCUCAACGUUUAUUUUGCCCGAUUCUUUCAUUUCCAAAUCGGACAGCGUAUGAGUAACUUAGGCAGCUAGACCAGACGAAUGUCAGAGAAAAUCCUGAAUUUUAUUUAAAUUUGAAACAAAGUUGAAUAAAGAAUUGUAUUACCAUGCUUAAGUUACCCUAAGAUUUUAUAAUAAUACCAAAGUAUUAAAUUUAAUUUUAUAUUUCCAUCUUGAUUAAUGUUUUAGUGUUAUACAUAGAUAUAUUUAUUUGACAAAGUAAAAACUUGUAAAAAUUUUGUAAAAUUUGUUAUCGCCAUUUUUAUAAAUAAGUAAACGCAGAGGUUUUUGUCCCGAUCUACAAAGCUUAUAGGACCAAUUCAAUUGUACAUUCAUCCCGGCCCUACCUUCCUUUAUUCAUUCAUUCUAGCCCUACCUACAUUCAUUCAUUCAAGCUCUACCUAUUUUCAUUCAUUCUAGCUCUACCUACCUUCAUUCAUUCUAGCCCUACCUAUCUUCAUCCAUUCUAGCUCUACCUAUCUUCAUUCAUUCCAGCCCUACCUACCUUCAUUCAUUCUAGAUUUACCUACCUUCAUUCAUUCUAGCUCUACAUACCUUCAUUCAUUCUAGCUCUACCUACUCUCAUUCAUCCCAGCUCUACCUACUCUCAUUCAUUCCAGCCCUACCUACCUUCAUUCAUCCCAGCCCUACCUUCCUUCAUUCAUUCUAGCCCUACCUACCUUCGUUCAUUCUAGCUCUACCUAUCUUCAUUCAUUCCAUGCCCUACCUAUCUUCAUUGAUUCUAGCCCUACCUGCCUUCAUUCAUUCUAGCUCUACCUAUCUUCAUCCAUUCUAGCUCUACCUACCUUCAUUCAUUCUAGCUCUACCUACCUUCAUUCAUUCUAGCUCUACCUAUCUUCAUUCAUUCCAGCCCUACCUACCUUCAUUCAUUCUAGAUUUACCUACCUUCAUUCAUUCUAGCUCUACCUACCUUCAUUCAUUCUAGCUCUACCUACUCUCAUUCAUCCCAGCCCUACCUACUCUCAUUCAUUCCAGCCCUACCUACCUUCAUUCAUCCCAGCCCUACCUUCCUUCAUUCAUUCUAGACCUACCUACCUUCGUUCAUUCUAGCUUUACCUAUCUUCAUUCAUUCUAGCUCUACCUACCUUCAUUCAUUUAUUCUAGCUCUACCUAUCUUCAUUCAUUCUGGCUAUACCUUCCUUUAUUCAUUCUAGCUCUGCCUACCAUCAUUCAUCCCAGCCCAACCUACCUUCAUUCACUCAUCCUAGCUCUACCAACAUUCAUUCAUUCUAGCCCGACUAACAUUCAAUCAUUCCCGCCCUACCUACCUUCAUUCAUUCCUCUCAGCCAUACCUACCUUCAUUCAUCCCUCUCAGCCCUACCUACCUUCAUUCAUCCCAGCCCUACCUACCUUCAUUCAUUCUACCUUUACCAACCUUUAUUCCAGCCCUACCUACGUUCAUUCAAUCCAGCCUUACCAACCUUCAUACAUUCUAGCUCUACCAACCCCCAUUUAUCCUAGCCUUACCGACCUCCAUUCAUCCAAUACUUCCCUACCUUCAUUCAUCCCAUUCUUCAACCUUCAUUCAUCCCAUCCUUCCCAACCUUCACUCAUCCUAAUCUUCACUCGCCUUUAUUCCUGCUAUUCUACAUUCAACGAAACCUCCAUUCCUGCUGUUCUCCAUUUAACGAUACCUCCAAAACUGCUAUUCUUUAUUCAAAGAAACCUCCAUUCCUGCUAUUCUCCAUUCAACAAAACCACCAUUCCUGCUAUGUUCCAUUUAACGAAAUCUCCAUUCCUCCUAUUCUUCAGUCAAUGUAACCUCUAUUCCUCCUAUUCCAUUCAAAGAAAAUUAAAAUUUAGGCCUUAUAAGCUUUGGAGAUGAGGUUUUCCCUCUUGUGUUUAAAAUCAUAAAAUUAAACUAUUUAUAUUGAAAUAAACAUUGGAAAUGUU